AAAGCAGGGGAUCGCAAGACCUUGCGCUUUUGGAGCGGCCGAUGUCUGAUUAGCUAGUUGGUAGGGUAAAGGCUUACCAAGGCAACGAUCAGUAGUUGGUCUGAGAGGACGACCAGCCACACUGGGACUGAGACACGGCCCAGACUCCUACGGGAGGCAGCAGUGGGGAAUUUUGGACAAUGGGCGAAAGCCUGAUCCAGCCAUGCCGCGUGAGUGAAGAAGGCCUUCGGGUUGUAAAGCUCUUUCAGUCGAGAAGAAAAAAUUGCGACUAAUAAUCGCAAUUCAUGACGGUAUCGACAGAAGAAGCACCGGCUAACUACGUGCCAGCAGCCGCGGUAAUACGUAGGGUGCAAGCGUUAAUCGGAAUUACUGGGCGUAAAGGGUGCGCAGGCGGCCUUGUAAGUCAGAUGUGAAAUCCCCGGGCUUAACCUGGGAACUGCGUUUGAAACUACAAGGCUAG
RNAcentral lists this ribosomal RNA (460 nucleotides) under uncultured ammonia-oxidizing beta proteobacterium. RNAcentral describes it as "bacterial SSU rRNA". It matches the Rfam family "Bacterial small subunit ribosomal RNA", at positions 202 to 644 of the family's 1533-position model. Lineage: Bacteria; Pseudomonadati; Pseudomonadota; Betaproteobacteria. The record is from RNAcentral.